UACGAAGGGGGCUAGCGUUGUUCGGAAUCACUGGGCGUAAAGCGCACGUAGGCGGACCUAUAAGUCAGGGGUGAAAUCCCGGGGCUCAACCUCGGAACUGCCUUUGAUACUGUGGGUCUCGAGACCGGAAGAGGUGGGUGGAAUUCCUAGUGUAGAGGUGAAAUUCGUAGAUAUUAGGAAGAACACCAGUGGCGAAGGCGGCUCACUGGUCCGGUUCUGACGCUGAGGUGCGAAAGCGUGGGGAGCAAACAUG
Molecule: ribosomal RNA, 253 nt
Filed under: uncultured bacterium
Lineage: Bacteria
Description: partial 16S ribosomal RNA
Rfam family: Bacterial small subunit ribosomal RNA
Source: RNAcentral